GAUGAACGCUAGCGGCAGGCCUAAUACAUGCAAGACGAACGGUAAGUUGAGUAGCAAUACUUAGCCAAGAGUGUCGUACGGGUGCGUAACACGUAUGCAACCUACCCUAUACAGGAGGAUAGCCUAGGGAAACCUGGAUUAACCCUUCAUAGUAUUAUUGGAUGGCACCAUUUGAUAAUUAAAACUGAGGUGGUAUAGGAUGGGCAUGCGUCUGAUUAGUUAGUUGGCGGGGUAAUGGCCCACCAAGACGAUGAUCAGUAGGGGUUCUGAGAGGAAGAUCCCCCACACUGGCACUGAGAUACGGGCCAGACUCCUACGGGAGGCAGCAGUAGGGAAUAUUGGUCAAUGGAUGCAAGUCUGAACCAGCCAUGCCGCGUGCAGGAAGAAGGCCUUCUGGGUUGUAAACUGCUUUUGCCAGGGGAUAAAAUUUCCAUGCGUGGAAAACUGAAGGUACCUGGUGAAUAAGCCACGGCUAACUACGUGCCAGCAGCCG
RNAcentral lists this ribosomal RNA (493 nucleotides) under uncultured bacterium. Its description in RNAcentral is "bacterial SSU rRNA". It matches the Rfam family "Bacterial small subunit ribosomal RNA", at positions 28 to 517 of the family's 1533-position model. The record is from RNAcentral.